RNAcentral lists this ribosomal RNA (252 nucleotides) under uncultured Eubacteriales bacterium. RNAcentral's name for it is "uncultured Clostridiales bacterium partial 16S ribosomal RNA". It matches the Rfam family "Bacterial small subunit ribosomal RNA", at positions 82 to 334 of the family's 1533-position model. Lineage: Bacteria; Bacillati; Bacillota; Clostridia; Eubacteriales. The record is from RNAcentral.
AUAAAGUGGAUUAGCGGCGGACGGGUGAGUAACACGUGAGUAACCUGCCUUAGACAUUGGGAUAGCCUCGGGAAACCGGGAUUAAUACCAAAUAAAAUCAUAAUGACACAUGUCAUAACGAUCAAAACUCCGGUGGUCUAAGAUGGACUCGCGUCCCAUUAGCUAGUUGGUAGAGUAAAAGCCUACCAAGGCGACGAUGGGUAGCCGGCCUGAGAGGGUGAACGGCCACAUUGGAACUUAGAAACGGUCCAA